RNAcentral lists this transfer RNA (92 nucleotides) under Phlebopus sp. FC_14. RNAcentral's name for it is "tRNA-Ser". Lineage: Eukaryota; Fungi; Basidiomycota; Agaricomycetes; Boletales; Boletinellaceae. The record is from RNAcentral.
GUCACUUUGCCGGAGUGGUUAACGGGAUCGCCUGCUAUAUUCAGCCAAGCGGUUGGGCUUUGCCCGCGAGUGUUCGAAUCGCUCAGGUGACG